UGAAGUCAAGUCCCAUAUCUCUGGAGCGAGCAAUGCCUCGUACUGGAGCCCUGUUUGCAGCAGACCUUCGGCGGAAUUAAAGCAGGAGAGACACUCACAGUGGCAGGAGCACGGGACCUGCCUGCAGCAUGGUCCCAUCCAGAAGGUUCAAUCCAGACCAGCAUCUCUGACGUGGAGAAAUAUUUGCUGAAGUAUGUGGUGACUGGAAGAAAGGGUGCAAAACUGGAAUGAAGGAAACCAGGAGAUGGUCCAUAAUAAUGAUCCAUAAAACUGAUACGUGUUUCCAGAGUGCUGAAGGCUCUGGAAAAGCUCCCAACAACUGCCUUGUGGUAAGAGCGCCAAGGAGCAUGAUGACCGUUGAAUACCACGAUAUCCUGCCUUAUUUGAGCCUCUUACCAAGAUCUGCCUUCGAUUUCCACAAGGUUUCUAUUUCUUCUCAUUCAUGGACAACAGGAAUGAAAAAACAUCCCAAGUUGCAGACUGACGUGCCCUGCAUUUCCCCCUAGAUCCCCU
RNAcentral lists this long non-coding RNA (513 nucleotides) under Scleropages formosus (Asian bonytongue). RNAcentral's name for it is "lncRNA (ENSSFOG00015033189.1)". The record is from RNAcentral. Lineage: Eukaryota; Metazoa; Chordata; Actinopteri; Osteoglossiformes; Osteoglossidae.